RNAcentral lists this long non-coding RNA (886 nucleotides) under Fukomys damarensis (Damara mole-rat). RNAcentral's name for it is "lncRNA (ENSFDAG00000026290.1)". The record is from RNAcentral. Lineage: Eukaryota; Metazoa; Chordata; Mammalia; Rodentia; Bathyergidae.
CAUUUUAUCUAUAGUUUUGUAGUUUCUGAUACAAAACUCAGAGACACAGGAUGGCGGGGUGGCUACUCUGUCAAGCACUGUGCUAAAUGUUUUGCAUGUAUAUUAGUACAAAUAAUAGCCCUGGCAAACUCGGCUGGGCAUUUUAUCCUCCUUACUGCAGAUAAUUAAAUUGUUCAAGGUCGUGCAGUGCCAUAAGUCAGCUCUGAUACUCUCUGCUUUGGGAAACCCAAAGUCAAGGACUUUUACUAAUAAAACGCUUGGACGUAUUAUUAGAUUAAUCCUUGUUCCUAAGAGUUUGUAAAGGGCAACCUCCUACUUUAUAGAAGUUGUGCUGAAGUUAAAGGAUUAAAGAAAAAAAAAAAAGGCUGUGAAAGGCCUCUAGACUUGGUAUAAAUCAAAAAGAAAAGUUCCGCCUUCACCACAAGUGAACAUGCUUAUUGGCUGGGAUGGACAGGCUGACUCAUUUCUUUUUUGCCGUGGCAGAGGGCCGCACCCAAGCAUUCCAAAACCCUCUGCUGUCGGCCACACCCGCCUCGAUGCUGGAGCCUCACAGCUGGGGUUUGGCGUCCCGAUUCACAGCUGCCUUCCAAGAGCGGAUUUACUAGUCUGCCAGAAGCGCCCAUUCCCGCCGCGGUCUUUGCCGGCGAGCGGGAGAGGACUGUGCGGACCCGGCGCAGCUGACCGCGCUGGCCUGUCUGCUUCCGCUGGAGCAGGCAGCGCGCACGCAAAUUUGGCACUCCUGAAAGCUUCCCGGAGGCUGCCUCAGAGGGGAGACUGUAUAUAGUGGGAUUCCUCUGUCAUGGGAGCGACACAUGAUCAGGCUGUGGAAUAAACAUCCAUGGAACUGCCACUGCUAUUUUAUGGUAAGAAAGUGAUUUCCAGCAUA